This 533-nucleotide ribosomal RNA is filed under the name Salmonella enterica. Its description in RNAcentral is "partial 23S ribosomal RNA". It matches the Rfam family "Bacterial large subunit ribosomal RNA", at positions 691 to 1221 of the family's 2925-position model. RNAcentral also lists the same sequence under 1 other name. Lineage: Bacteria; Pseudomonadati; Pseudomonadota; Gammaproteobacteria; Enterobacterales; Enterobacteriaceae. The record is from RNAcentral.
GGCGUUAAGUUGCAGGGUAUAGACCCGAAACCCGGUGAUCUAGCCAUGGGCAGGUUGAAGGUUGGGUAACACUAACUGGAGGACCGAACCGACUAAUGUUGAAAAAUUAGCGGAUGACCUGUGGCUGGGGGUGAAAGGCCAAUCAAACCGGGAGAUAGCUGGUUCUCCCCGAAAGCUAUUUAGGUAGCGCCUCGUGAAUUCAUCUCCGGGGGUAGAGCACUGUUUCGGCUAGGGGGCCAUCCCGGCUUACCAACCCGAUGCAAACUGCGAAUACCGGAGAAUGUUAUCACGGGAGACACACGGCGGGUGCUAACGUCCGUCGUGAAGAGGGAAACAACCCAGACCGCCAGCUAAGGUCCCAAAGUCAUGGUUAAGUGGGAAACGAUGUGGGAAGGCCCAGACAGCCAGGAUGUUGGCUUAGAAGCAGCCAUCAUUUAAAGAAAGCGUAAUAGCUCACUGGUCGAGUCGGCCUGCGCGGAAGAUGUAACGGGGCUAAACCAUGCACCGAAGCUGCGGCAGCGACACUCAGGUGU